UACGUAGGUGGCGAGCGUUAUCCGGAAUUACUGGGCGUAAAGCGCACGCAGGCGGCUGCCUAAGUCUGAUGUGAAAGCUCUCGGCUUAACUGGGAGAGGUCGUUGGAAACUGGGCAGCUUGAGGAAAUGAGGGGGGUGCGGAAUUCCCGGUGUAGUGGUGGAAUGCGUAGAUAUCGGGAGGAACACCAGUGGCGAAGGCGGCACCCUGGCAUUGUCCUGACGCUCAUGUGCGAAAGCGUGGGGAGCGAACGGG
Molecule: ribosomal RNA, 253 nt
Filed under: uncultured bacterium
Lineage: Bacteria
Description: partial 16S ribosomal RNA
Rfam family: Bacterial small subunit ribosomal RNA
Source: RNAcentral